This 305-nucleotide long non-coding RNA is filed under the name Androctonus crassicauda. Lineage: Eukaryota; Metazoa; Arthropoda; Arachnida; Scorpiones; Buthidae. The record is from RNAcentral.
CAAAUCAUAUCAAGUAACAUAUAAAACCUAAAAUAAUACUAACAUAUAGUAAAAGCAGGAAUGAUAUGAUAUAAAUGCACAGUCUUUAUAAAGUAGAAACAAGGUAUGUACACUAUAGUUUCAUUUAAGAUGCCACUUAUAGUUAAGCUGCCAUAUCAUAUAUAGUAGGGGUUCUUAAUGGGGGUAUCCGUACAGCUUCUUUGGGGUAUGGGAACCAAAUGCUUCGGAUAUGGGACUCAAUCUUUAGGUACUGAUAUUUAUUUUAUUUAAUGUAUUAAUUUAUACUUGAGUAGUACAUGAAUGGA